Magnolia sinica is the source of this 1086-nucleotide long non-coding RNA. RefSeq lists it as uncharacterized. The transcript has 6 exons. The record is from RefSeq and is a predicted model, not a curated record. Lineage: Eukaryota; Viridiplantae; Streptophyta; Magnoliopsida; Magnoliales; Magnoliaceae.
UGGCAGUGACAGAUGUUGAUAAGCCUUCAUACUUCUUUGUCAUUUUACGUCUGCUUAUUUAUACCAUGUGGGCUUUUCUCUAGAUUGGUCAUAACAUGUUCUAGUAGAGGAACCUAGUUCAAAUGAUGCUGGUUCUUCAGUUCUCAUUUUUGGUCCCUUAGUUAUUGGACCUUAUCAUAAAAGCUACCUUCUCCUAUGGUCCAUUUGCUUUGUAUUAUUUCCGGUCAGAGGAGGAAAUGGAGAUCCUUCUACUAGAAACUGCAAAUCUUACUGUAGAUUUCACUGGCGCAAAGCUGCAAAAUAUAUUUUAGUUACUUCCUAAUGAAUUGUUUCUAUUUUCCCAUUAGGAGAUUUUUUUAAAACCAUCUUGCAACUGAUUGGUAGGAAUGAACCUGGAAUUUUAACUGCUAGAAAGGAUUUAGACUACAUUGGAUGAGAAGAACCGUUGGAAGCCUUGAAGAGGCAAAAGGGUACGUUUGAAACCGGUCAAGAAGAUAGUACUGAAAUUCUGGAGGAGUUAAAAGCUGAGGUUGGCAUACAGGGAAGCAGCUGUGGCUGUUCUUGCAUGCUACAAUCCAAAUCCUCACCGUCCUUUCACUGAGACUAAUAUUCGUUCCAUUCGCAGCAAGCCAAAUAUGUGUUAUGUUGAGACUACUGGAAGGUUUUUUUGAGGAAGUCAGAUUAUGUAGAAUCUAUAUUCCGUGCAUGUGCCCAGUUUUUCAGCGGUAGUGGGUCCGAAUGGAAGUGGUAAAAGCAACGUCAUAGAUGCAAUGCUCUUUGUAUUUGGGAAACGAGCUAAGCAGCUGGAGGUAACCAAAAUUUACAUCAUCUUCAUUUUUGGUUAUACACCGGUUUGGGUAUAUGUUUUAGGUUAUGAUAUAUAUAUAUAUAUAUAUAUAUAUAUAUAUAUAUAUAUAUAUAUAUAAUUCUUUAAGUGGAACUUUUGAGAGGGUGAUAGGACCUGCCAAGGCUGGCGAUGGAUCUGGCAAAAAGGAUGUGGUCGCAGUGCAGCCUGGCCCUAGCAACUAGAUUGCUCAUCAGGGUUCUUUUACUCAAGGAAUGAGCUAUAUGCAUUCUCAGAUAAAG